Molecule: long non-coding RNA, 1979 nt
Organism: Fundulus heteroclitus (mummichog)
Lineage: Eukaryota; Metazoa; Chordata; Actinopteri; Cyprinodontiformes; Fundulidae
Exons: 6
Source: RefSeq, a predicted model, not a curated record
CCCAGCCUGGAGCUCCAGACCCAGGGCCCUUCCCAGUCCCUCUCACCCGGGAAGGGCCUCCAUCCCUGGGCCUAAUCUCAACCAAUACCCAGCCUACCAAUCCUCCAGCCUGGAGCUCCAAGAUGGCAUUUUGCUAUUUAGGAGGAUUUGCCCAUGAACCAAGAUGGCAAUGGUCUUCACAAAACUCAGUUCCUAUAAAACUGUGGAAGGGUUUUUUUGGUGUAAGGCCCCAGGAUCCCUCCAGACCCUUGUAUCUUCCUGGGCUACCCCUGUUAAAUCCAUAUCCACCCCAUGCUGGGGACAAAUCCUAUUCAAAUGGAUACCUGGAUGGCAAGUCAAAGUACUCUGCCAUUUAGGACCCCCUGGCAAUGGUAGCCCCGGGCAAAACCAUGCCAUCUUGGAUCACCCACGCCACCCUGGACCCCCAUAUGGCACAUAUCCUAUUAACAAAGAUACACAGAUGGCAAGUACCCUGCCACUGCGGAUGUCUCAAAAAUGACAGGUCCUUCAGGGCUUGCCAUUUAGAAUCAUUGACAGAUUAUCCAAAAUGACAGGUCCUUCAGGGCUUGCUAUUUAGAAUAAUUGACAGAUGAUCCAAGAUGGCUUAAGAUUUGUUUGCCCCUGCUUUUGAGGGAGGGAAACCCUAUAGCAAGCACCUGCUUUUCAAGGUGGGAAGCCCCAUAGCAAGCACCUGCUUUUCAGGGUGGGAAACCCCAUAGCAAGCACGUACUAUAAAAAAGGUCACCACAUGGAGCAAUGUGAGGAAAAAAGUAACCCUGGAUGCUUUGAGGGCCCUCAGGGCUACCAACCCCAGCUCGCCAGUCAUUUCAACCCUGGACCUUGGCCAGGAUGAGAAUCCGGAGGGGGUGCCUGACCCCGAGUCUGACCCAACUCCCACCUGCUCAUCAUGCUCCAAAUUGGUAAAACAAAAUAGGGAGCUUUUGAAGCAGCUGAGGACCAAGGAGCGUUGGAUCCAGAAGGCCAAGGCAAAAAUCCACGCUUUUGAGCAGCAGGCCCUCCAAAAGACGAGCGGUGGGGAGUCUGGAGAGUCAGAGCCGGGGCCAUCUGGAGCAAAUCUCCCAGAAGAUGAGGAGGAUGAGAACUCAUCUUCUGAGGACCAGCCAAAGACAAAAAAAGGGAAAUCUAGCGGCCUUCUCAAGAGAUACAAAGAUUUUCCUGCACCUAUCCUUCAGUACAUGGAAGAGUAUUGGGUGUACUUUAGCGGGUCCAUUGCAACUAAAAAACAUUUGGAGAACCAGAGGUCCAAAUUGGGAAGAGUACUGUCCUUCCUGCGGUUCCUUACUAAGGGAAGUACAGCACUUUCCAAUUGGACAUUUCUAGAGAACAUCAGCAGAGUUCACCAGUGGCUAGAACAGCUCCUCACAGAGGGAAAGGCGGAGAACACUGCCAAAAACUACCUCUUGAAUGUGGUGGAGUUUGGUGGCGUUUCCAUGAAGAAUUUAACAAACACCUCGCGCCUCCCCAAAAAGGCCUUAGUUGGUUUAAAAAGGGCCAUAAUAGAUGACAUCAAAAAGCUGAAGAAACCGGUCUCCCUUCGCCAGAUCUUGGUCAAGAAACGCAAGAUCAGAAGGGUGAUUCCGAUCUUGCGGACCUGCGGAAAUGUCAGAGGCAGGCGGCCAGGAAAAUCCCAAAACUGCUCGACAAUAUCCAGACUGACCCCAGUGCUAUCAACAUACGCCGGUUCUAUGGCUACUUUAGUGUAUACAUUUCAAGUAUAUAUGGCCAUAGAACCGGCGUAUUAACAAACAUGACAAUGCCUGAAGUGGAGGAGGCACAGGUUGACGCCAAGUCUGCAGAUCAGGGAUUUGUCAUAAACGCGAAGGAGCACAAGACAAAUAGGGCUUUUGGGCCGGCCCAAGUAUACCUGACCAUGGAGGAGUUUGGAUGGCUGGAGAUGUGGCUCCAAAUAAGGGCAAAUAUUAAUCCAUCCAGUGACCUAGUUUUCUUUAACGAAAACU